UACAGAGGGUGCGAGCGUUAAUCGGAAUUACUGGGCGUAAAGCGUGCGUAGACGGUUUCGUAAGUCGGGUGUGAAAGCCCCGGGCUCAACCUGGGAAUUGCAUUCGAGACUGCGUAGCUAGGGUGCGGAAGAGGGAAGCGGAAUUUCCGGUGUAGCGGUGAAAUGCGUAGAUAUCGGAAGGAACGCCGGUGGCGAAAGCGACGUGCUGGACCCUUUCUGACGCUGAGGCGCGAAAGCCAGGGGAGCAAACGGG
Molecule: ribosomal RNA, 253 nt
Filed under: uncultured bacterium
Lineage: Bacteria
Description: partial 16S ribosomal RNA
Rfam family: Bacterial small subunit ribosomal RNA
Source: RNAcentral